Ailuropoda melanoleuca (giant panda) is the source of this 156-nucleotide long non-coding RNA. RefSeq lists it as uncharacterized. The record is from RefSeq and is a predicted model, not a curated record. The transcript is spliced from 3 exons. NCBI's taxonomy places the organism in Eukaryota, Metazoa, Chordata, Mammalia, Carnivora, Ursidae.
CAAAAAUUCGGAGACCAAGUAAGAAUUUAAGACACAGUAAAGACAAAGCAACUGGUCUCCAGAUUAUGCAGUCCAUUGUGAAAUGGCAUCACAUGGAGAAUAUAGCUACCUGCCUGUGGGAUGCGUACUCAGGCCUGUUGGGUGAUCAAGCCAUGA